RNAcentral lists this ribosomal RNA (498 nucleotides) under uncultured bacterium. Its description in RNAcentral is "partial 16S ribosomal RNA". It matches the Rfam family "Bacterial small subunit ribosomal RNA", at positions 30 to 523 of the family's 1533-position model. The record is from RNAcentral.
AUUGAACGCUGGCGGCAUGCUUUACACAUGCAAGUCGAACGGGCUUGGGUGCUUGCACCUAAGUUAGUGGCGAACGGGUGAGUAAUGCAUCGGAACGUACCGUGUAGUGGGGGAUAACCCGGCGAAAGUCGGAUUAAUACCGCAUACGAUCUAAGGAUGAAAGAAUGGGAUCGCAAGACCUUGCGCUAUACGUGCGGACGAUGUCGGAUUGGCUAGUUGGUAGGGUAAAGGCAUAUCAAGGCAACGAUCCGUAGCGGUGAGGAGAGGAUGGUCCGCCACGCUGGGACUGAGACACGGCCCAGACUCCUGCGGGAGGCAGCAGUGGGGAAUUUUGGACAAUGGGCGAAAGCCUGAUCCAGCCAUGCCGCGUGAGUGAAGAAGGCCUUCGGGUUGUAAAGCUCUUUUGUCCGGGAGCAAAUCCUGUUCACUAAUACUGGGCGGGGCUGAGAGUACCGGAAGAAUAAGGACCGGCUAACUACGUGCCAGCAGCCGCAGUAA